UACGAAGGGGGCUAGCGUUGCUCGGAAUCACUGGGCGUAAAGCGCACGUAGGCGGACUCUUAAGUCGGUGGUGAAAUCCUGGAGCUCAACUCCAGAACUGCCUUCGAUACUGGGAGUCUCGAGUCCGGGAGAGGUGAGUGGAACUGCGAGUGUAGAGGUGAAAUUCGUAGAUAUUCGCAAGAACACCAGUGGCGAAGGCGGCUCACUGGCCCGGUACUGACGCUGAGGUGCGAAAGCGUGGGGAGCAAAAGGG
RNAcentral lists this ribosomal RNA (253 nucleotides) under uncultured bacterium. RNAcentral's name for it is "partial 16S ribosomal RNA". It matches the Rfam family "Bacterial small subunit ribosomal RNA", at positions 524 to 776 of the family's 1533-position model. The record is from RNAcentral.